Callithrix jacchus (white-tufted-ear marmoset) is the source of this 1393-nucleotide non-coding RNA. NCBI's taxonomy places the organism in Eukaryota, Metazoa, Chordata, Mammalia, Primates, Cebidae. The record is from RefSeq and is a predicted model, not a curated record.
GGUGAUCACAGCCUCUGGGACCAGGGUCGCUCGGUCCGUGCUCCGCCUCGCCAUGACUUCCUACAGCUAUCGCCAGUCGUCCACGUCGUCCUUCGGGGGCCUGGGCGGCGGCCCCGUGCGUUUUGGGCCGGGUGUCGCCUUUCGCGCACCUAGCAUACACUGGGGCUCCGGCGGCCGCGGCGUGUCCGUGUCCACCACUCGCUUCGUGUCCUCGUCCUCCUCGGGGGGCUACGGCGGCGGCUAUGGCGGCAUCCUGGCCACUUCCGACGGGCUGCUGGCGGGCAACGAGAAGCUCACCAUGCAGAACCUCAACGACCGCCUGGCCUCCUACCUGGACAAGGUGCGCGCCCUGGAGGCGGCCAACGGCGAGCUGGAGGUGAAGAUCCGCGACUGGUACCAGAAGCAGGGGCCCGGGCCCUCCCGCGACUACAGCCACUACUACAAGACCAACCAGGACCUGCGGGACCAGAUUCUUGGUGCCACCAUUGAGAACUCCAGGAUUGUCCUGCAGAUUGACAAUGCCCGUCUGGCUGCAGAUGACUUCCGAACCAAGUUUGAGACGGAGCAGGCUUUGCGCGUGAGCGUGGAGGCCGACAUCAACGGCUGCGCAAGGUGCUGGAUGAGCUGACCCUGGCCAGGACUGACCUGGAAAUGCAGAUUGAAGGGCUGAAGGAAGAGCUGGCCUACCUGAAGAAGAACCAUGAGGAGGAACUCAGUGUGCUGAGGGGCCAAGUGGGAGGCCAGGUCAGUGUGGAGGUGGAUUCAGCUCCAGGCACCGAUCUCGCCAAGAUCCUGAGUGACAUGCGAAGCCAAUAUGAGGUCAUGGCCGAGCAGAACCGGAAGGAUGCUGAAGCCUGGUUCACCAGCCGGACUGAAGAACUGAACCGGGAGGUCGCUGUCCACAGAGAGCAGCUCCAGAUGAGCAACACCGAGGUCAGUGACCUGCGGCGCACCCUCCAGGGUCUUGAGAUUGAGCUGCAGUCACAGCUGAGCAUGAAAGCCGGCUUGGAAGGCACACUGGCAGAAACGGAGGCGCGCUUUGGAGCCCAGCUGGCGGAGAUCCAGGCGCGGAUCAGUGGUAUUGAAGCCCAGCUGGGCGAUGUGCGGGCUGAUAGUGAGCGGCAGAAUCAGGAGUACCAUCGGCUCUUGGACGUCAAGUCGCGGCUGGAGCAGGAGAUCGCCACCUACCGGAGCCUGCUGGAGGGCCGGGAAGAUCGCUACAACAACCUGUCUGCCUCCAAGGUCCUCUGAGAAGGCAGCAGGCCCGGGGCUUCUGUUGUCCUUUGGAGGGUGUCUCCUGGGUGAGGCGAUGGGAAGGAAGGGACCCUUAUCCCCGGCACGUCCCUUGACCUGCCAAUAAAAUUUUAUGGUUCAAGGGAAAAAAAAAAAAAAG